Molecule: long non-coding RNA, 304 nt
Filed under: Chlamydomonas reinhardtii
Lineage: Eukaryota; Viridiplantae; Chlorophyta; Chlorophyceae; Chlamydomonadales; Chlamydomonadaceae
Description: long non-coding RNA (CREI_LNC000206)
Source: RNAcentral
CCCCAGCCCCCACCAUAGCUGACGUCGCAUAGCAAGUGCAGUGCACGCACAGGCAACAGCAGGAAGCACAGCACCAGCGCCAGCCAGGGCGUGUCAGCAUCCAGAUUUGUACCCACCCCAACACACGCACUACCUUGGAUUUCCGCCCCCCCCUGCGCGCGCAGCGCACACUUGUGCCGUCUCCUGCCUCGUCACGCCUACCAGUUCAGCACGCUGUAACUUGCCCCGCUUGAAUGCUCUGGUGCACGUCUGUCAAUCCAGUGAUCGCUAUCCAACACCUUGCGCUCACAGCCAGCCUCGGCUA